UACGAAGGGGGCGAGCGUUGUUCGGAAUUACUGGGCGUAAAGGGCGCGUAGGCGGCCGAUCAAGUCAGAUGUGAAGGUCCUGGGCUUAACCUGGGGACUGCAUUUGAUACUGAUUGGCUUGAAUGCAGGAGAGGAUAGCGGAAUUCCCAGUGUAGAGGUGAAAUUCGUAGAUAUUGGGAAGAACACCGGUGGCGAAGGCGGCUAUCUGGACUGUGAUUGACGCUGAGGCGCGAAAGCGUGGGGAGCAAACAGG
RNAcentral lists this ribosomal RNA (253 nucleotides) under uncultured bacterium. RNAcentral describes it as "partial 16S ribosomal RNA". It matches the Rfam family "Bacterial small subunit ribosomal RNA", at positions 524 to 776 of the family's 1533-position model. The record is from RNAcentral.